This 254-nucleotide ribosomal RNA is filed under the name uncultured bacterium. Its description in RNAcentral is "partial 16S ribosomal RNA". It matches the Rfam family "Bacterial small subunit ribosomal RNA", at positions 524 to 776 of the family's 1533-position model. The record is from RNAcentral.
UACGUAGGGUGCGAGCGUUGUCCGGAAUUACUGGGCGUAAAGAGCUCGUAGGUGGUUUGUCGCGUUGUUCGUGAAAACUCACAGCUUAACUGUGGGCGUGCGGGCGAUACGGGCAGACUGGAGUACUGCAGGGGAGACUGGAAUUCCUGGUGUAGCGGUGGAAUGCGCAGAUAUCAGGAGGAACACCGGUGGCGAAGGCGGGUCGUCUGGGCCGAUACUGACGCUGAGGAGCGAAAGCGUGGGGAGCGAACAGG